RNAcentral lists this ribosomal RNA (301 nucleotides) under uncultured bacterium. RNAcentral describes it as "partial 16S ribosomal RNA". It matches the Rfam family "Bacterial small subunit ribosomal RNA", at positions 509 to 807 of the family's 1533-position model. The record is from RNAcentral.
CAGUAGCCACGGUAAUACAGAGGGUGCAAGCGUUAAUCGGAAUUACUGGGCGUAAAGCGCGCGUAGGUGGUUUGUUAAGUUGGAUGUGAAAGCCCCGGGCUCAACCUGGGAACUGCAUCCAAAACUGGCAAGCUAGAGUACGGUAGAGGGUGGUGGAAUUUCCUGUGUAGCGGUGAAAUGCGUAGAUAUAGGAAGGAACACCAGUGGCGAAGGCGACCACCUGGACUGAUACUGACACUGAUGUGCGAAAGCGUGGGGAGCAAACAGGAUUAGAUACCCGCGUAGUCCCUGUCUCUUAUAC